Molecule: ribosomal RNA, 308 nt
Filed under: Cicurina sp. MH10
Lineage: Eukaryota; Metazoa; Arthropoda; Arachnida; Araneae; Dictynidae
Description: partial 12S ribosomal RNA
Source: RNAcentral
AGGUAGUACUCACAAACCUAUUUAUUUUGGCGGCAUUCAUUUCCCUAGAGGAACUUGUUCUAUAAUCGACAACCCACGAUAAAUUUCACUUUAUUUCACAAUUUAUAUACCGCCGUCAUAUAGAAUUUUCUAAAAAAUUUAUUCUCAAUAACUAAUAACAAAAUAGGUCAAGGUGUAAUCAAUAAUAAAGAUUAAAAUGAGUUACUUUAAAUACAAUUUCAGGAUUAAAUAAUAUUAACUAUUUAUUAAAAAGAAUUUAAAAGUAAAUAAAAAACAAUAAUUUUUCAUGAACAAAAUUAUAAAUGUGC